This 317-nucleotide small nuclear RNA is filed under the name Vulpes vulpes (red fox). RNAcentral's name for it is "7SK RNA (ENSVVUG00000025021.1)". It matches the Rfam family "7SK RNA". Rfam says of the family: 7SK was discovered as an abundant small nuclear RNA in the mid-70s but a possible function has only recently been suggested. Two independent studies have found that 7SK RNA binds the CDK9/cyclin T complex (known as elongation factor P-TEFb). P-TEFb activates transcription by phosphorylating the C-terminal domain of RNA polymerase II. The record is from RNAcentral. Lineage: Eukaryota; Metazoa; Chordata; Mammalia; Carnivora; Canidae.
GGAUUUGAGGGUGCUCUGGCUGUGGCAUCUGUCACCCCUGUGAUCGCCAGCGUUGAUUCGACUGAUCCAGCUGGCUUGGGGGUGUCCCCGCCCUCCCUCACUGCUCCAUGUGCGUCUCCCGUGAAGCUGUGUGCUUGGCCAGAGAGGAUGACCUUCUCCGAUAGAGGAGGACCAUUCUUUGGUCAAGGAUAUACCAGUAGCUCCACUCCCCUGCUCUCAAGCUCUCAAGCUCCAUUUGUAGGAGAGUGUAUGAUAGUCAAGCUUCCAAGACUCUAGACGCAUCCAAAUGAGGCACUACAUGUAGCAGUCCACCUUCC